UACGUAGGUGGCAAGCGUUGUCCGGAUUUACUGGGCGUAAAGAGCGCGCAGGCGGUCAGAUAAGUCGAAUGUGAAAGCCCCCCGGCUCAACUGGGGAGGGUCAUUCGAUACUGUUCGACUCGAAGGCAGGAGAGGGAAGUGGAAUUCCCGGUGUAGUGGUGAAAUGCGUAGAUAUCGGGAGGAACACCAGUGGCGAAGGCGACUACCUGGCCUGUUCUUGACGCUGAGGCGCGAAAGCUAGGGGAGCAAACGGGG
Molecule: ribosomal RNA, 255 nt
Filed under: uncultured bacterium
Lineage: Bacteria
Description: partial 16S ribosomal RNA
Rfam family: Bacterial small subunit ribosomal RNA
Source: RNAcentral